This is a small nuclear RNA of Ochotona princeps (American pika), 104 nucleotides long. The record is from RefSeq and is a predicted model, not a curated record. Lineage: Eukaryota; Metazoa; Chordata; Mammalia; Lagomorpha; Ochotonidae.
GUGCUCGCUUUGGCAACACAUUGACUAAAAUUGGAAUGAUACAAAGAUUAGCAUGGCUCCUGCGCAAGGAUGACAUGCAAAAAAGGGGGGGCAAAAGAACAUUA